RNAcentral lists this ribosomal RNA (380 nucleotides) under uncultured archaeon. Its description in RNAcentral is "bacterial SSU rRNA". It matches the Rfam family "Archaeal small subunit ribosomal RNA", at positions 471 to 851 of the family's 1478-position model. The record is from RNAcentral.
UAAUACCAGCUCUCCGAGUGGUGGGGACGAUUAUUGGGCUUAAAGCGUUCGUAGCCGGCUCAGCAAGUCUUCCGUUAAAUCCAACGAUCUAAUCGUUGGGCUGCGGGAGAUACUGUUGGGCUAGGGGGCGGGAGAAGCCGACGGUAUCCUCGGGGUAGGGGUGAAAUCCUAUAAUCCCGGGAAGACCACCAGUGGCGAAGGCGGUCGGCUAGAACGCGCCCGACGGUGAGGGACGAAAGCUGGUGGAGCGAACCGGAUUAGAUACCCGGGUAGUCCCAGCUGUAAACGAUGCAGGCUAGCUGUUGGGGUGGCCACGAGCCAUCUCGGUGGCGCAGGGAAACUGUUAAGCCUGCCGCCUGGGAAGUACGAUCGCAAGAUUG